AUCAGUGUGAGAGAGAUGGCUAUUAGCUUCACAGCAACUGGCGACUCUAGAGUCAUUGUGAGAGAAACAAAGUGUCUCCCCUGUUCUUUCUGACCACCGUGGGAAAUCUGUAACAGGAAAAGUUAGUUCUCGCCUUGAUUUCACAUUUGUUUAUGGAGAAGGCGAAUCAGGUAAUGAGUCUGGGGAAAUGUAGUUACAUUUUUCGAGAGAUGCACGUCAGGCUACAGCGUAGGGUCCGUUUCUCCACGUACCUACGUACGUACCCACGGCGUAGUUCUAACACAGAAGCAUAUAUCGCGCUUUACAGCAUGGAGAUACGGU
Etheostoma spectabile (orangethroat darter) is the source of this 321-nucleotide long non-coding RNA. RefSeq lists it as uncharacterized. The record is from RefSeq and is a predicted model, not a curated record. NCBI's taxonomy places the organism in Eukaryota, Metazoa, Chordata, Actinopteri, Perciformes, Percidae. The transcript has 3 exons.